GCUGAGUUUUGGUGCCAUGGCACGCUACAGAUAGUUGAGUUUUGGUGCCAUUUGCACUUGUGCCAUGGCAUGCAGUUUGUUGAGUUUUGGUGCGAUGGCUUGCAGCAGAUUGCUGAGUUUUGGUGCCAUGGCAUGCAGCAGAUUGUUGAGUUUUGGUGCCAUGGCAUGCAGCAGUUUGUUGAGUUUUGGUGCCGUGGCAGGCAGAUUGAUGAUUGUGACUGUCAUGGUGAUACAUUUUGUCAGUCAUAUCUUUCAUUUUGUCAGCGAAAGAGUGG
Molecule: long non-coding RNA, 275 nt
Filed under: Nicotiana benthamiana
Lineage: Eukaryota; Viridiplantae; Streptophyta; Magnoliopsida; Solanales; Solanaceae
Description: long non-coding RNA (NBEN_LNC034384)
Source: RNAcentral